Molecule: ribosomal RNA, 759 nt
Filed under: Escherichia coli
Lineage: Bacteria; Pseudomonadati; Pseudomonadota; Gammaproteobacteria; Enterobacterales; Enterobacteriaceae
Description: partial 23S ribosomal RNA
Rfam family: Bacterial large subunit ribosomal RNA
Source: RNAcentral
AAUGGGUCAGCGACUUAUAUUCUGUAGCAAGGUUAACCGAAUAGGGGAGCCGAAGGGAAACCGAGUCUUAACUGGGCGUUAAGUUGCAGGGUAUAGACCCGAAACCCGGUGAUCUAGCCAUGGGCAGGUUGAAGGUUGGGUAACACUAACUGGAGGACCGAACCGACUAAUGUUGAAAAAUUAGCGGAUGACUUGUGGCUGGGGGUGAAAGGCCAAUCAAACCGGGAGAUAGCUGGUUCUCCCCGAAAGCUAUUUAGGUAGCGCCUCGUGAAUUCAUCUCCGGGGGUAGAGCACUGUUUCGGCAAGGGGGUCAUCCCGACUUACCAACCCGAUGCAAACUGCGAAUACCGGAGAAUGUUAUCACGGGAGACACACGGCGGGUGCUAACGUCCGUCGUGAAGAGGGAAACAACCCAGACCGCCAGCUAAGGUCCCAAAGUCAUGGUUAAGUGGGAAACGAUGUGGGAAGGCCCAGACAGCCAGGAUGUUGGCUUAGAAGCAGCCAUCAUUUAAAGAAAGCGUAAUAGCUCACUGGUCGAGUCGGCCUGCGCGGAAGAUGUAACGGGGCUAAACCAUGCACCGAAGCUGCGGCAGCGACACUAUGUGUUGUUGGGUAGGGGAGCGUUCUGUAAGCCUGUGAAGGUGUACUGUGAGGUAUGCUGGAGGUAUCAGAAGUGCGAAUGCUGACAUAAGUAACGAUAAAGCGGGUGAAAAGCCCGCUCGCCGGAAGACCAAGGGUUCCUGUCCAACGUUAAUCGGG